ACCAGACAGAGCAGACCAUUACCAGAGCUGAAGUUCAGAAGAGUGUCACGGAGAAGCACUUCCCAAAGGGAUCCCUACAAGAGGACGCGGUCCGGGCCAGAGGGAAGGGUGGCUUCGGAGGCCAUGGGACAGAAGACAAGGAAGAGAACCAUGAAAGACUGUGAGCUUCCAGAGAGCAGAGGCCCUGCUACGCAGUUUACCAUUUAAUCCUAAGGGACAACUACGAUGCCUGGCACAGAGGAAGUCCUCAAGCACAGGAAGAUGAUCCAAAAGCAGCGGUGCCCACAUUCAAGACGCCUUCAUCCUACAUCUGUCCCAGUCACGCCCGAGUCAAAGGAGACUGCGCUCUCAUGAUGCGGUUCUAUAGAACCCGAGGAGGAAGUUGUGUCGGGGCGGGGACUCAGCGCGGUCUUCCCCUGAUUUCUCCUUGUUAUCCACCAUUCCACCUGACUCGGCUCCACCUCCCUCUGAGGAUAACAGUGGUUAUCUCUCAACUAACGGCAAAGAGAUUCCGAUUAAACUGCAAAUAAAGUGACAUAAUUGGU
Molecule: long non-coding RNA, 545 nt
Organism: Chinchilla lanigera (long-tailed chinchilla)
Lineage: Eukaryota; Metazoa; Chordata; Mammalia; Rodentia; Chinchillidae
Exons: 4
Source: RefSeq, a predicted model, not a curated record